UGGUGGUGGCCGCCGCCGGCUCGACACAGCGUCGGGUCGGUCGGUCGGUCGUUACGUGGUGCAUGGCAAUCGCGAAUGAAUACUCGUUGACGCUUCGGGGUACCUGUCGCACGUCGUCCGUCUUCGCGUGCGGUGAGCAGGCCUCGGGCUUCGGCCCCCGGUCGGCGAAGGUCCAACGAACCGUCCGCGCGCUCUUCGGGGCGCGCGUUCGGUCGCCCCGUCGCAUUCUCAGUUUCCCACCCGUCAGUUACCGGUUUCGUACGGUCGUGUGUUACCCAAUGUCAGGACAACGAGAGUUACACAGAC
Molecule: unclassified non-coding RNA, 306 nt
Filed under: Limnodrilus maumeensis
Lineage: Eukaryota; Metazoa; Annelida; Clitellata; Tubificida; Naididae
Description: partial internal transcribed sapcer 1
Source: RNAcentral